This 604-nucleotide ribosomal RNA is filed under the name Salmonella enterica subsp. enterica serovar Oranienburg. RNAcentral describes it as "partial 23S ribosomal RNA". It matches the Rfam family "Bacterial large subunit ribosomal RNA", at positions 2259 to 2857 of the family's 2925-position model. Lineage: Bacteria; Pseudomonadati; Pseudomonadota; Gammaproteobacteria; Enterobacterales; Enterobacteriaceae. The record is from RNAcentral. RNAcentral also lists the same sequence under 4 other names.
UGGUGGGUAGUUUGACUGGGGCGGUCUCCUCCUAAAGAGUAACGGAGGAGCACGAAGGUUGGCUAAUCCUGGUCGGACAUCAGGAGGUUAGUGCAAUGGCAUAAGCCAGCUUGACUGCGAGCGUGACGGCGCGAGCAGGUGCGAAAGCAGGUCAUAGUGAUCCGGUGGUUCUGAAUGGAAGGGCCAUCGCUCAACGGAUAAAAGGUACUCCGGGGAUAACAGGCUGAUACCGCCCAAGAGUUCAUAUCGACGGCGGUGUUUGGCACCUCGAUGUCGGCUCAUCACAUCCUGGGGCUGAAGUAGGUCCCAAGGGUAUGGCUGUUCGCCAUUUAAAGUGGUACGCGAGCUGGGUUUAGAACGUCGUGAGACAGUUCGGUCCCUAUCUGCCGUGGGCGCUGGAGAACUGAGGGGGGCUGCUCCUAGUACGAGAGGACCGGAGUGGACGCAUCACUGGUGUUCGGGUUGUCAUGCCAAUGGCACUGCCCGGUAGCUAAAUGCGGAAGAGAUAAGUGCUGAAAGCAUCUAAGCACGAAACUUGCCCCGAGAUGAGUUCUCCCUGAGACUUUAGGUCUCCUGAAGGAACGUUGAAGACGACGACGUUGAU